AAAUGCAACAAUCUUAUUGGGGGGAUGGAAAAAUGACAGAUGUCACAGGGUCUCUGGCAGGAAGCAGUGCAGAGGGGCGCUUUUUUCAGGGUGAAUGGGAAGUUGCGUAUAGGGGUUUUACCAACCCCUGACUUUUCUUCCCUGUCUUGCAGGUUCCCGCUACCAGCCUCGAGGCUGUCUUUGCUGGUCUGCAUCCUGCUGGAGUGUUCCAUUGUGCUUUCUUGCAAUACAGAGAUCUCACCAAGUGUUACCUAGAAGAAGAUGGGUUUGGGGAAUACUUGUGUUUUACCAGGUGUGGCAAGCACACUUCCUGCUGGCACCCACUUACCUUAAAAGUCCCGGGUCCCACUCUCCCCUGACUCCCAAGGCAGGCACCUGCCAGACCACAGUACAAGUCCCCCAACUUUCCUCUUACUUUUCAGCCAUUUGUACUUGUGGCUUCUUCCGCCUGGGGUGCCCUCCACAGACCCCACUUCCUUCAUCCAUCCUCCAGGUGACUUCAUACUUCAGGUCAAGUCCAACCCCCCCUGCUUGGCAAGACCUUCCCUGAGUAUCAGGCGGUCCCUCCUCUGUGGCUUGGCUAGAUCUUGUUUUCCCCGCAUCAUGGCAAUUGUCACCUUGAGUUGUCUGCAUCUGUCUGACUCCCCCAUCAGACUCUGCAGUCCCAGAGGCAGGCACUGAGUCUUAGGUAACCCCGUAGCCCUCAGGCCAAGCACAGUGCCUGGCACACAGGAGAGGGUCAAUGUUGGUAGAGGGAGUUCCCAUUGUGGCUAAGUGGAUUAAAAGCUCAAUUAGUAUCCACAAGGAUGUGGGUUUGAUCCCUGGCCUUGCUCGGUGGGUUCAGGAUCCUGCAUUGCCUCAAGCUGUGGCAUAUGCCACAGAUGUGGCUCGGAUCUGGCAUUGUUGUGGCUGUGGCAUAGGCCCAGCAGCUGCAGCUCCAACUAGACCCUUAGCCUGGGAAUCUCAGGUAUGCCACAGGUGUGGCCCUAAAAAAAAAUGUUAGAUUUUGUGCAAUAUCCUCCUCGACAUCUCUGUCCUCCAGGGCCUCGCCCACCCUGGGUCCGUCACCCACCCUGCCUGCUACACCGAGAACCUGAUAAAUGUCCACUGAAGGAAUGAGACUGCAUCUUUGGUUUUUUGGCCGCCUUGGCGGUACUCGAAAAUGCCUGGGCCAGGGAUCAAACCCAAGUCUAAGCAAUGACAAAGCUGGAUCCUUAACUCACUCAACCAAUGAGCUUGUAUCUUUAAAGACCCAAAUAAGAAGUUAUCAUUCAGAGGCAUGGUUGGCAUUUCUUGGAGACAGAUUGGUGUGAAGUCCAAAGUUCAGAGAAAAGAGGACACGCACUGAUCAGUGAGGUGAAGCUGGGAGGUUAUGGCGCUCUGCAGACGCUGGCGAAAAGAUGGAAUGUUCCCUCCCAACGGGGGCGGGAAGCACCCCAACUCCGGGGCCAGCCUGGUCUCACAAGGCUGUGAGCUCCCUGAGGGCAGGGACCAUGUCAUAGUCCCUGCAAACCCAGCACAGGGACAGGCACCGCAGAGAUGCCAAGUGAAGUCAGCGGAAGUCAGUGGUGUCAAAAUUCCACCGCACCUGUCCCCAAUUGGGGCCUUCUCUGCCAAAGCCAGCAGGAUCCUUGU
This 1635-nucleotide long non-coding RNA is filed under the name Sus scrofa (pig). RNAcentral's name for it is "lncRNA (ENSSSCG00000057295.1, ENSSSCG00170001389.1)". Lineage: Eukaryota; Metazoa; Chordata; Mammalia; Artiodactyla; Suidae. The record is from RNAcentral.